Molecule: ribosomal RNA, 880 nt
Filed under: uncultured eukaryote
Lineage: Eukaryota
Description: SSU rRNA
Rfam family: Eukaryotic small subunit ribosomal RNA
Source: RNAcentral
AGCAGCCGCGGUAAUUCCAGCUCCCAAUAGCGUAUACUAAAGUUGUUGCGGUUAAAAAGCUCGUAGUUGGAUCUUGGAAUGUGUUCAAGCGGGUCAGCUUCUGGCUGUGCGCUGCUUGACGUGUUCUUCUAUUUGGUUUUGGUGCGGUGCGCUUAACUGCGUGUCGCUCCCGGCCGAAACGUUUACCUUGAAAAAAUUAGAGUGUUCAAAGCAGACCUGUUUGAGUCUGAAUAUUCGUGCAUGGAAUAAUGAAAUAUGAAUUCGGUUCUAUUUUGUUGGUUUUCGGAACUCGAGUUAAUGAUCAAGAGGGACAGACGGGGGCAUUCGUACUCUGCCGUUAGAGGUGAAAUUCUUGGAUCGGCGGAAGACGCGCAACUGCGAAAGCAUUUGCCAAGAAUGUUUUCUUUAAUCAAGAACGAUAGUCGGAGGUUCGAAGACGAUCAGAUACCGUCCUAGUUUCGACUGUAAACUAUGCCAGCUAACGAUCAGACAGAGUUCUCUACGACUUGUCUGGCAGUUUCCGGGAAACCAAAGCGUUUGGGUUCCGGGGGAAGUAUGGUUGCAAAGCUGAAACUUAAAGGAAUUGACGGAAGGGCACCACCAGGAGUGGAGCCUGCGGCUUAAUUUGACUCAACACGGGGAAACUCACCCGGCCCGGACACAGUGAGGAUUGACAGAUUGAGAGUUCUUUCUUGAUUCUGUGGGUGGUGGUGCAUGGCCGUUCUUAGUUGGUGGAGCGAUUUGUCUGGUUAAUUCCGAUAACGAACGAGACUCUGGCAUGUUAAAUAGUCGCGGAAGUGCGUAUGCACUUGCCGAAUUGACUUCUUAGAGGGACUAGUGAUUUUAAUUCACACGAGAUUGAGCAAUAACAGGUCUGUGA